CCUACGGGAGACAGCAGUGGGGAAUAUUGCACAAUGGGGGAAACCCUGAUGCAGCGACGCCGCGUGAGUGAAGAAGUAUUUCGGUAUGUAAAGCUCUAUCAGCAGGGAAGAAAAUGACGGUACCUGACUAAGAAGCCCCGGCUAACUCCGUGCCAGCAGCCGCGGUAAUACGUAGGGGGCAAGCGUUAUCCGGAUUUACUGGGUGUAACGGGAGCGUAGGUGGCAUGGUAAGCCAGAAGUGAAAACCCAGGGCUCAACUCUGUGGAUUGCUUUUGGAACUAUCAAGCUAGAGUGCGGGAGGGGUAAGCGGAAUUCCUAGUGUAGCGGUGAAAUGCGUAGAUAUUAGGAGGAACACCGGUGGCGAAGGCGGCUUACUGGACAGAAACUGACACUGAGGCUCGAAAGCGUGGGGAGCAAACAGGAUUAGAUACCCCAGUAGUC
This 441-nucleotide ribosomal RNA is filed under the name uncultured bacterium. RNAcentral's name for it is "partial 16S ribosomal RNA". It matches the Rfam family "Bacterial small subunit ribosomal RNA", at positions 338 to 795 of the family's 1533-position model. The record is from RNAcentral.